Molecule: long non-coding RNA, 618 nt
Filed under: Mus musculus (house mouse)
Lineage: Eukaryota; Metazoa; Chordata; Mammalia; Rodentia; Muridae
Description: long non-coding RNA chr17:29705353-29705971
Source: RNAcentral
UUUUUUUUUUUCUGUCUAAACCAGAGAAACAGUAAUAAUUCUUGUCUGUUUGAAUAAGGAAGUAAAAAACUUAGGGCACAGGAGUUGAAACUCUAAAGUUAGGGACCAUUCUGCCUUGGCUUAGAGGGUCAUUACCUGUCCUCAGGACUGAGCUCUGCCCUGUAAAGCUGGGAGGUCACGGCCUCCAGGUCCUUCCGACACCGGGACAGCUUUUCCUCUAGCCCGUCAAUCUGAAAUAGACAGAGGCACUGAGCUUUCCUGACACUGGCACCUCAGAGGGACUCACCUUUAGGGCCCCCACCCUGCCCAUGCACCCCAUGUCUGUACUGGACAGGGCACAGGUUGAGGGUGAAGCAGAACCCCAGGUUAGCUGUGUCUUGUAGGAACAGGGCACCAGUUGUUUCCACCAGAGCCUGGUACCCUGUAGCACUCCCCCUGUGGUGUGUACUCAAGGGAAAAAGCACUGCAGAGCCAGUCCCAGGUCCUGAGCACUCCUCGUGGCGUGGGAGGGGUUAAGUGUCAAGGGUUCUUCCUUGUAGAUAUCCUAACAGUGCAGUUUGUGUUGUCACAAGAGACAUUUUUCUGAGAAUCAAUAAAAAUUGGCGAAACAAUGCAACU